This 301-nucleotide ribosomal RNA is filed under the name uncultured bacterium. RNAcentral describes it as "partial 16S ribosomal RNA". It matches the Rfam family "Bacterial small subunit ribosomal RNA", at positions 509 to 809 of the family's 1533-position model. The record is from RNAcentral.
CAGCCGCCACGGUAAUACGUAGGUCCCGAGCGUUGUUCGGAUUUAUUGGGCGUAAAGCGAGCGCAGGCGGUUAGAAAAGUCUGAAGUGAAAGGCAGUGGCUCAACCAUUGUAGGCUUUGGAAACUGUUUAACUUGAGUGCAGAAGGGGAGAGUGGAAUUCAUGUGUAGCGGUGAAAUGCGUAGAUAUAUGGAGGAACACCGGUGGCGAAAGCGGCUCUCUGGUCUGUAACUGACGCUGAGGCUCGAAAGCGUGGGGAGCGAACAGGAUUAGAUACCCCAGUAGUCCCUGUCUCUUAUACAC